Molecule: long non-coding RNA, 248 nt
Filed under: Phoenix dactylifera (date palm)
Lineage: Eukaryota; Viridiplantae; Streptophyta; Magnoliopsida; Arecales; Arecaceae
Description: long non-coding RNA (PDAC_LNC004362)
Source: RNAcentral
UUUAUUGCAUCCAUUAGGCUUCUAAAGUGAUCUCCCUGAGAUUGAUUGAGGGCUGUCACUAGUGCUUCAAACUCAUGAGUUGCCCUGUCAAUCCUUCCUCUAAGUUGGGCAGCCACACUGCCCACAUUUCCUUCAGAGCUCGUCAACUCUUGAAGACCAUCCGAUAUGAUCUUCAAUUCAGCCUGUAUCUCACAUGAUCUUCUAGUUUGGUUUGUUGCCACACAAACCAAUUCUGACCCUAUAGCUUC